Molecule: ribosomal RNA, 859 nt
Filed under: uncultured cyanobacterium
Lineage: Bacteria; Bacillati; Cyanobacteriota
Description: bacterial SSU rRNA
Rfam family: Bacterial small subunit ribosomal RNA
Source: RNAcentral
UGCAGUCGUACGAGAGUUUUUAACUCAAGUGGCGGACGGGUGAGUAACACGUAAGAAUUUGCCUUUAGGAGGGGGAUAACAACUGGAAACGGUUGCUAAUACCCCAUAUGCUUUUGAGUGAAAUGGAUUUUUCCGCCUAAAGAGAAGCUUGCGGCUGAUUAGCUUGUUGGUAAGGUAAUGGCUUACCAAGGCGACGAUCAGUAUCUGGUUUGAGAGGACGAUCAGACACACUGGAACUGAGACACGGUCCAGACUCCUACGGGAGGCAGCAGUAGGGAAUUUUCCGCAAUGGGCGAAAGCCUGACGGAGCAAUACCGCGUGAGGGAUGACGGCCUAUGGGUUGUAAACCUCUUUUUUCAGGGAGGAACAAAAUGACGUGUACCUGAAGAAUAAGCAUCGGCUAACUCCGUGCCAGCAGCCGCGGUAAGACGGAGGAUGCAAGUGUUAUCCGGAAUCACUGGGCGUAAAGCGUCUGUAGGUGGUCAAAUAAGUCAACUGUUAAAUCUUGAGGCUCAACCUCAAAAUCGCAGUCGAAACUAUUAGACUAGAGUAUAGUAGGGGUAAAGGGGAUUUCCAGUGGAGCGGUGAAAUGCGUAGAGAUUGGAAAGAACACCGAUGGCGAAGGCACUUUACUGGGCUAUUACUAACACUCAGAGACGAAAGCUAGGGUAGCAAAUGGGAUUAGAUACCCCAGUAGUCCUAGCUGUAAACAAUGGAUACUAGAUGUUGAACAGAUCGACCUGUGCAGUAUUAAAGCUAACGCGUUAAGUAUCCCGCCUGGGAAGUAUGCUCGCAAGAGUGAAACUCAAAGGAGACGGGGGCCCGCACAAGCGGUGGACAUGGUUAAUCGAUGCAACGC